This is an RNA transcript of Helianthus annuus (common sunflower), 2181 nucleotides long. RefSeq lists it as uncharacterized. The record is from RefSeq and is a predicted model, not a curated record. The transcript is spliced from 7 exons. Lineage: Eukaryota; Viridiplantae; Streptophyta; Magnoliopsida; Asterales; Asteraceae.
CUUGCUAGCUGGGUGUAAUAGGCUUAGCUUUCCACGACCACACAUCUGAAAGAGUGGGAAUGGAAAACAUAGAUUUCGGGAAGAGAGAGAGAGAGGCAGGGGAGGAGGAAGACCAAGGGACUGCUGGAGUGCUGGGUUUAGGGCUCCGGUUUAUAUCACUUUCCUCGGUCUCUUUCCACCGUCGAAAUCAAACACCACCGCCGCCAGUUGUUUGAAGCCAGGAAACGACUGAUUAUGAGCUAUUAAAAGGCACACCCGGUUCGUUUUCUUGAAUGGCGCCAUCAUCCUCUGACCUCUGUAUGUUCUUAUGGAAAUCAGAGACAUGAAGCUUAAGUAAAUCGAUGAGGCUUACAACCUGCUGCGUAUUUAUCUCAGCAUCAUGUUAUCAAAAACGACUACCAGAUUGGAUUCUACAUCUCUGUACCUAAGAGUUUGAGGGUGCCUGUUGAUAGCCAUACUCGCUGCAGUUGUCGGAAGUCAAGCCAUAAUUACGGGGACCUUUUCAAUUAUAAAACAAGGUUCUCUCGGAUGCUUUCCCAGGGUCAAAAUAGUCCAUACCAAUUCAAAAUUUCACGGGCAAAUAUAUAUCCCAGAGAUCAACUGGAUCUUGAUGACGUUAUGCUUAGCCAUUACCAUCGGAUUUAGAGAUACUAAACGCAUGGGUAAUGCUUCAGGUAUGGUGUUUUAAGGAAACAUUUAAACAGUUUGUUAAAUGGUUAAGAUAUGUUUAACUGAUUUCAUUGUAUCGUACUAUCGUGAUCUGGUUUGGCGGUUAUAACGGUUAUGUUGGUUACAACUUGCUUGAUUGAUGUCUCUUAUCAUCGUCUUUUGCUGGCACCAAAGUGUUUUUCUUGCAAUCGGUUUUGUGGUGUUUUUUGAGAUGAUUGAAGCGUUGUACCUUUCGGCUUCUUUUAUCAAGUUUCUAGAAGGUGCGUGGGUCCCGAUAGCACUCUCGCUCAUUUUCAUUCUUGUGAUGUACGUGUGGCACUAUGGUACACUUAAAAAGUAUGAUUUUGAUGUCCAAAACAAAGUAUCGGUUGAUUGGCUACUGAGUCUUAUGAUUUGUAUACAUAAGACUAAACUUGCAUGUGAUUAGUAUACAUGACAUCAUCAUCAUGAUGUCAUCAUGAUGUCAUCAUGAUGAUGUCAUUCUCGUAUCUCAUCAUAUCGUGUCUUCAUUCUUGUAACGCGAAUGCCGGGCCAUACGGAGAAACGUCGUCAACUUCGGUCUCCAACCGAGCCGAACUGGGCCAAGCCGAACCGAACCAAGCCACAUCCACACAAAACCGCAUCAACAAUGUGCAUGUGGCAUGGCAUCUGCCUUCUCCUUUCAAGGCGGCGUUCCUGUAGAAAUAAGUAACUCAAUUAGACUUGUCAAAAUGGACAGACAGGUUGACCAAAAGAUGUUAGGGGCUUCACAUGAUUUGAAUCUUGUGCAAUAAUAGUUACUGUAAAGAAGUAAAUUAUAAAAAUUUCGACACUAAGUGUUACGAUGAGGAGUAGUAGCUGCAACAGCAAGAGCGUCAACAUGACCACGUGCAUGGCGGGGAGCCAAGGUCUUGCCCAAUGACAAGCUAGAUUUCUUGGAUGCACCUGUUCCUUUUAUAGUUGGUGUGAAGAGCAAAACUGCCAAAGUACAAUCCAAGUCGGGAAACGUUAUAUAUGUUGAUGUUAAGAAUAACCAGGUCAAAUCAUUGUCAAUACCACAUUUCCCUCAGUACAAAGAGUUAUAUGCAGCCUUAACUCCUUAUCAUGCUCAACUGGUCGGAGAAAGUUAUUUAGGAUUUUACGGAAAAAGAGACCGGUUUCUGAAUGCACAGAUGUGCAGGUCAUCGGCACCACCAUUUAACUCAAGUGACACCAGAUCAACAUGGAGCUACAAGGGUGCCACCAGGGAAUCAAAGAGUGGCCGGCAUGGUUCAACUGCCUGGAUCAAGGCUACCAGACUGUACUCACACUUGCGGCUCAUGUUCUCGACGUGAAAACCAUGCUUUGUUUAAAUAAUGUAGGUGCUCAGUAAUUGAUUAUCUGAAUUGAUCAAUGCCGACAAAAGGAAGGGAUACUAGCGUGAAGGAGGGACGCGGGCGAUCUCCUCUGUUCAUGUUAUUUUUUAGCGUUUUUAGUUUCAGUUUUGUGUUUGUUUAUGUUCUUUUUUAGCGUUUAUUUUAAUUCUGUGUUAAA